Molecule: non-coding RNA, 244 nt
Organism: Schizosaccharomyces pombe (fission yeast)
Lineage: Eukaryota; Fungi; Ascomycota; Schizosaccharomycetes; Schizosaccharomycetales; Schizosaccharomycetaceae
Source: the annotation of a GenBank genome assembly
AUAUUAAAAGCCCCUAAUCACUAGCUUUCUACGAUCAUAUAAACUACAAAACAGCAACACUAGACUAGGAGCUGAAACUAUACUACAAUAUGAACGCACCCACAGCUUCCACAAACGGUAUCACCACUCGAAAAUUCCUCAACUAGAUUAGGAGGAUCUUCCCGACAUUCAGAGCAUAUCAUUUUGACCGAAAGCAUGCUCGUCGGCAAACCUGUAAAUGAUGGUGCGUUCAUGGUUGAGGGCA